This is a long non-coding RNA of Vigna angularis (adzuki bean), 947 nucleotides long. RefSeq lists it as uncharacterized. Lineage: Eukaryota; Viridiplantae; Streptophyta; Magnoliopsida; Fabales; Fabaceae. The record is from RefSeq and is a predicted model, not a curated record. The transcript is spliced from 3 exons.
CACACUACAAAGCACAAUCUAUGUGCGAAUUUUUCCUCUACACUCUCUCUUUCGUAUUGACUUCUGUCACCCCAAUUCCCAGACAUAAAUACUCAGCUAGCUACUACUUCAAAACAUAACCAAAGAUCUGAACUUUGAGCCUCUCAGGUGAAGUUUUCAACCAUGGCUGCUUCUUUGGAAAACUAAGGGUGAAUUGUAAUUACUGAUAUCUUCAAACUUUUGGAGAAAAAGGUGAAGAACACAGUCAGUAUCUGUGGGUGCAGCAACAUCAAGAUUCACACCUCCAAAGGACUUCACAAGUGCACAUGUUUAUACAUAUAUACAUACCUAUGUGUUGGCUAUGGAAGUUCCAAUAAAGAAGUGAGAAUCUUGAUGAUGCUGCACCGGCAAAUAAAUGGCUAGAAUUUCCGAUUCAGAUCAAAGGAGGCAUACAGUGAGGAAAUUAAUUAUCAAUCCAGGCUCAGAUGCAUGUCAGAAGAGACCGGUCGAUUUAGCAUUCUAUGGAGGAAUGGGUUCAAACAAUUUGGUGGGAUUGUGCUAAAUCUGCUAGAAAAUGGUCACAAAGGUCAAUUAUAUGUAAGGAUCCUACAGGUAAGAAUUUUAACCCUAAUUCUAUUUUACACAUUUACAUCUGGAAUGAAGAACUUUGCAACAUUAAAAGAAGAAGAAAGAAAGUGGAGGAGGAGCCCCACUACUUAAGGUACUUCAAUCCUUACAUAUAUAAUAUAUAGAUAUAUAAAAUAAAGCAUUUAAUUAUCAAUUCUAAUCAAAAUUAACUUCAUAAACACAAGCCUUGAUGCAUUAAUGUAUAUCUCACUAUGAAAUUCUUACUAUCAAUGCAGUUGUAACCUUUUCAAUGGCUCUCACAGUGAACAUUAGUUUUCUCACAAUCUGGCAACUUGUGCUAAGAUAUUGUUCAUAAACAUCUUUCAAAAAAGUUAAAAAUA